This 18-nucleotide microRNA is filed under the name Macrophomina phaseolina MS6. RNAcentral's name for it is "miR-4117-5p". The record is from RNAcentral. Lineage: Eukaryota; Fungi; Ascomycota; Dothideomycetes; Botryosphaeriales; Botryosphaeriaceae.
UCUGUGACUGUAAUGGAA